This 253-nucleotide ribosomal RNA is filed under the name uncultured bacterium. RNAcentral's name for it is "partial 16S ribosomal RNA". It matches the Rfam family "Bacterial small subunit ribosomal RNA", at positions 524 to 776 of the family's 1533-position model. The record is from RNAcentral.
UACGUAGGGGGCAAGCGUUGUCCGGAUUUACUGGGCGUAAAGAGCGUGUAGGCGGCCACGCAGGUCCGUUGUGAAAACUGGAGGCUCAACCUCCAGCUGUCGACGGAAACCGUGUGGCUAGAGUCCGGAAGAGGAGAGUGGAAUUCCUGGUGUAGCGGUGGAAUGCGCAGAUAUCAGGAAGAACACCAACGGCGAAGGCAGCUCGCUGGGACGGUACUGACGCUGAGACGCGAAAGCGUGGGGAGCGAACAGG